AAUAAAUGAAUUUCUGAGUUUUUUGAAUAGAAUUUUUGACUCUUCGUCUUAUUUAAAAUUUUUUAUGAUUAAUAUUUUUAUUAUUAUUACAUGAUAAAAUAUGAAUAGUAUUUUACAUGUGAUAUUUUUUUUAAAUUUUUUUAAUAAAAUUUUCAAAUAAGACCGUUGGUCAAAUACUCAAACCAGAGAACCCAGG
Oryza brachyantha (malo sina) is the source of this 196-nucleotide non-coding RNA. Lineage: Eukaryota; Viridiplantae; Streptophyta; Magnoliopsida; Poales; Poaceae. The record is from Rfam.